ACCGGGAGCAGCGGCGCGCUCUUGUAAUCCGGCUGCUCGGAGGUUAAGAUUGCGUGGAUCGGUUUGGGUGGGGCACUGUCGACCGGGCGUGUUAGACAAUCGAUUGCACGACGACACGAAAUUGACCACAAAUACUACUCUUAAU
Molecule: non-coding RNA, 145 nt
Organism: Cinara cedri
Lineage: Eukaryota; Metazoa; Arthropoda; Insecta; Hemiptera; Aphididae
Source: the annotation of a GenBank genome assembly